Non-coding RNA from Coturnix japonica (Japanese quail), 1802 nucleotides. The record is from RefSeq and is a predicted model, not a curated record. NCBI's taxonomy places the organism in Eukaryota, Metazoa, Chordata, Aves, Galliformes, Phasianidae.
CGGUUGGGGCCGCUGCUUCCGGGCACCGCGCGCCCUCUCACGGAGCCCCGCCGCAGCUCCGUGCUCCGCUCCGCUCGGCUGGAGAACUCCGCCCCGCCGUGGCCGUCUGCUCCGCCCCGAGGCGGUGUCCGCGCUGGGGCGCCGACCUGCGCCCCGGGGAGCCCGCGGCGCUGUGCUGUGAGGUGAGGCCGUGGGUAGCGGCGCUCCCUCGGGGACCCGGGGGGAUACCGGAGCCGAGGCCGUAGCGUUAAAAGGUUGAGGCGUCUGAGUAUGGCCAAACGUCACCACAGCUGUGAGGGAAACGGCGCUUUGCUCGGAGAAGGUGACGGGAUCGCGGCCCCUGCGUGGAAAAGCAGCUCAAACAACGAGGUGUUGCUUCCGUUAGCUCGGGGCGGCGCCGUCCGGGCCGCGCUGCUCCUCGGCGCUGUGCCCGUGGUUGGCAGCCCCGGUUCUGUUCUGCGCUUUUUAGUGCGGAGCUGUAAGGGCUGAGCUGCCACGUGUGGAGCAGCCCGAGCCAGCACAAACCAAGGAUUCAGCUGAACCUGGAUACAUCUGUCUUUUGCACUGAGUUUCUAAGGACAAAUCAAGGAGGCUUCACUGUUGGAGACGGCGGGAGAAAAGCAAACGACCAUAUCUGUCAUUGACAUAUGAUCAGCUAAUCUCCUUUAUUGCUUUGGCUACGUGUACAUUUAUAAUGCAGAUAAUUAGCUCAUACAUAGUGCAAAAGCAGAGCUCAUCAUUGGUUCCCAAUUACAUACCACCCCAAGUAUCUUUGUAACUUGCAGUUAUUGUCUGUUAUUGUUUUUGUAUAUUCAUUCUGCCUCUUCACCUUUUUGUUUUACAUUUAAGUUAGCCAAAUAAUUAAUAGCAUUGCAAAAUCAGGGGAAAAAAUGAUUAUCUGUGAUUUCAGGUGGCAGCAGCAUUUAUCCAUAUUUCUGUCUUGUGUAUCAAACUAGAAAAUAUGUAACUAGUUCAGAAAUGCUUUACCUCAUUACAGAUAAUACACAUAAUAUAAAGAAGAAUGUACUUGUGCAAGAGGUGCAAAAUCUUUCCACUGUCGCGUGCAGCUUAGAUUGUUCUAUUUAUUUCAACUUGUGCAAGCAUUAAAGCAUCAGUAUGGUGUAGAUGUGGUUUAUACUAUGCAGUUACUGAGUUUUACACAGUAAGCUAUACUGUGUAGUGCUGGAAACCUAAAGAAAGGAAGUGUCAGAAAAAAGAUGUACUAAAAGAUUCCAUUGAAUGCAAUUGAUGCUCAUCUCUUGAAGAUGUUUGGACAGCAGCCAAUGCAUGGAAAGGAAGAUGCAUUUAAAGAAUCAAAUAAUCUCUUGAAAAUGGCAUCUCCCAUGUAAUCUCAGUGGAAAUUGUCCAGCUCGUCACAAUAGCUCUUGACUUGGAGCACCACCUUUCCUGUUUCGGGCACAAACAUUUGUGAGACUUCCUUCUUGCUGCAGGGAAGUUCAGUCACAGAACUUGGCAUUUUCCUCCAAGAAUAACAGUGAACUCUGUGUUCCCCUAUUUGCAACAGAAAUAAGUGCAACAAACAGAGGUGGAGUAGUCUUAACUAGUAUAGUUGUUGUCUGAAAGGAGAGACCUCACUUUCAUUCUAUUGCAGCGUGUUUCAUUGCUAUAAACUACUAGUUAAGAAAAACAGGAAAAUAAAAGAAUAUCAGUUCUUUAAAAACCAAAUUAUUGCAGAAAUGUAAAUAUUUGUUGUGAUGUAUGAGAUGUACUUAUUUCGUCAUAAAGUUGAAAGCUGUGUUUUAGGGAAGGGCAGUGUUUAAAGAAACAAUGCAAAUCAGGAA